GGUUUGGGUCUCUUGGCAUGUGGA
Molecule: non-coding RNA, 24 nt
Filed under: Arabidopsis thaliana (thale cress)
Lineage: Eukaryota; Viridiplantae; Streptophyta; Magnoliopsida; Brassicales; Brassicaceae
Source: RNAcentral